This 304-nucleotide ribosomal RNA is filed under the name uncultured bacterium. RNAcentral's name for it is "bacterial SSU rRNA". It matches the Rfam family "Bacterial small subunit ribosomal RNA", at positions 28 to 334 of the family's 1533-position model. The record is from RNAcentral.
GACGAACGCUGGCGGCGUGCUUAACACAUGCAAGUCGAGCGGAAAGGCUCCUUCGGGGGUACUCGAGCGGCGAACGGGUGAGUAACACGUGAGUAAUCUGCCUCUGGCUUCGGGAUAGCCCUCCGAAAGGGGGAUUAAUACCGGAUAUGACCUGUCACUGCAUGGUGGUGGGUGGAAAGUUUUUUCGGCCAGGGAUGUGCUCGCGGCCUAUCAGCUUGAUGGUGAGGUAAUGGCUCACCAUGGCUUCGACGGGUAGCCGGCCUGAGAGGGUGACCGGUCACACUGGGACUGAGACACGGCCCAG